UUAGAGUUGAUCUGGCUCAGAAUGAACGCUGGCGGAUGGAUUAGGCAUGCAAGCCGUACGAGAAUCCUCUCUUCGGAGAGGAGGACAGUGGCGAAAGGGUGAGUAACACGUGAGUAUCUACCUCCAGGUUGGGAACAGCCCGCGGAAACGCGGAUUAAUGCCCGAUGGUCCCUUCGGGGUAAAGAGGAAUCGCCCGGAGACGAGCUCGCGGCCCAUCAGCUUGUUGGCGGGGUAACGGCCCACCAAGGCGACGACGGGUAGGUGGUCUGAGAGGAUGGUCACCCACACUGGGACUGAGAUACUGCCCAGACUCCUACGGGAGGCUGCAGUCGAGAAUCAUCCGCAAUGGGCGAAAGCCUGACGGUGCAAUGCCGCGUGGGGGAUGAAGGCCUUCGGGUCGUAAACCCCUGUCAGAGGGGACGAAAAACAUGACGGUACCCUCAGAGGAAGCCACGGCUAACUACGUGCCAGCAGCCGCGGUAAUACGUAGGUGGCGAGCGUUAUUCGGAUUUACUGGGCGUAAAGGGUCCGCAGGGGGUUUGCCGAGUCCGAUGUGAAAGUCCGCAGCUCAACUGCGGAACUGCGUCGGAUACUGGUGAACUUGAGUGCGCGAAGGGCGAGCGGAAUUCCAGGUGUAGCGGUGGAAUGCGUAGAUAUCUGGAAGAACACCGGCGGCGAAAGCGGCCCGCUGGCGCGCCAUUGACCCUCAUGGACGAAAGCGUGGGGAGCGAACAGGAUUAGAUACCCUGGUAGUCCACGCUGUAAACGGUGCAGACUCGAUGCGGGGGGCGGUCCCCUCCGUGUCUAAGCCAACGC
This 816-nucleotide ribosomal RNA is filed under the name uncultured organism. RNAcentral's name for it is "bacterial SSU rRNA". It matches the Rfam family "Bacterial small subunit ribosomal RNA", at positions 1 to 858 of the family's 1533-position model. The record is from RNAcentral.